Molecule: long non-coding RNA, 329 nt
Filed under: Callithrix jacchus (white-tufted-ear marmoset)
Lineage: Eukaryota; Metazoa; Chordata; Mammalia; Primates; Cebidae
Description: lncRNA (ENSCJAG00000076954.1)
Source: RNAcentral
CCUUAAACUGCUAAGCAACUUCAGUGAAGUCUCAGGACACAAAAUCAAUAUGCAGAGGGGGAGGGGGCAGAUCCAAGAUGGCUGAAUAACAACAGCUCUGGAGUGCAGUUCCCAGCAAGAACAAUGUAGAGGCUCUGCACAAUCUUGUGAUGAUGAUGUUAUGAACUUGUGACCAUCGAAUGGAGUCAGCCAUUUGGCAAAUGUCCUUAUGAUCUGUUUUCACAACGUGGAACUUAUUUCCCACCACCUUUUUUGUUCAGAAGGAUGCAGCGAAAAGGCCCUCACCAGAUGCCAGCUCCUUGAUCUUGGAUUCCACAGCUUCCAGAAUG